Tuber brumale (winter truffle) is the source of this 100-nucleotide non-coding RNA. The record is from the annotation of a GenBank genome assembly. NCBI's taxonomy places the organism in Eukaryota, Fungi, Ascomycota, Pezizomycetes, Pezizales, Tuberaceae.
GUCAAGAUGGUGGAGUGGUUAACACGUUCGCCUGCUAAUCUCUGAAGGAGCUAGUCAGCGGAUGCCUUCGGGCGCGCAGGUUCGAAUCCUGUUCUUGACG